RNAcentral lists this ribosomal RNA (457 nucleotides) under uncultured bacterium. Its description in RNAcentral is "bacterial SSU rRNA". It matches the Rfam family "Bacterial small subunit ribosomal RNA", at positions 340 to 786 of the family's 1533-position model. The record is from RNAcentral.
UACGGGAGGCAGCAGUGGGGAAUAUUGCACAAUGGGCGCAAGCCUGAUGCAGCCAUGCCGCGUGUAUGAAGAAGGCCUUCGGGUUGUAAAGUACUUUUCAGCGGGGAGGAAGGCGGUGAAGUUAAUAGCUUCACCGAUUGACGUUACCCGCAGAAGAAGCACCGGCUAACUCCGUGCCAGCAGCCGCGGUAAUACGGAGGGUGCAAGCGUUAAUCGGAAUUACUGGGCGUAAAGCGCACGCAGGCGGUCUGUCAAGUCGGAUGUGAAAUCCCCCGGGCUUAACCUGGGAACUGCAUUCGAAACUGGCAGGCUAGAGUCUUGUAGAGGGGGGUAGAAUUCCAGGUGUAGCGGUGAAAUGCGUAGAGAUCUGGAGGAAUACCGGUGGCGAAGGCGGCCCCUGGGACAAAGCUGACGCUCAGGUGCGAAAGCGUGGGGAGCAAACGAGGAUUAGGAUACC